This 275-nucleotide ribosomal RNA is filed under the name uncultured bacterium. RNAcentral describes it as "partial 16S ribosomal RNA". It matches the Rfam family "Bacterial small subunit ribosomal RNA", at positions 338 to 630 of the family's 1533-position model. The record is from RNAcentral.
CCUACGGGUGGCUGCAGCAAGGAAUUUUCGUCAAUGGGCGCAAGCCUGAACGAGCAACGCCGCGUGCAGGAUGACGGCCUUCGGGUUGUAAACUGCUUUUGCGAGGGAAGAAGAGGACGGUACCUCGCGAAUCAGCCCCGGCUAACUCUGUGCCAGCAGCCGCGGUAAUACAGAGGGGGCAAGCGUUGUCCGGAUUGACUGGGCGUAAAGGGUCCGUAGGCGGUGUGGUAGGUGGGGUGUGACAUCUGUCGGCUUAACCGGCAGCGGCCGCUCCA